This 579-nucleotide ribosomal RNA is filed under the name uncultured bacterium. Its description in RNAcentral is "partial 16S ribosomal RNA". It matches the Rfam family "Bacterial small subunit ribosomal RNA", at positions 355 to 923 of the family's 1533-position model. The record is from RNAcentral.
UGGGGAAUUUUGGACAAUGGGCGAAAGCCUGAUCCAGCAAUGCCGCGUGUGUGAAGAAGGCCUUCGGGUUGUAAAGCACUUUUGUCCGGAAAGAAAUCCUUGGCUCUAAUACAGUCGGGGGAUGACGGUACCGGAAGAAUAAGCACCGGCUAACUACGUGCCAGCAGCCGCGGUAAUACGUAGGGUGCAAGCGUUAAUCGGAAUUACUGGGCGUAAAGCGUGCGCAGGCGGUUUGCUAAGACCGAUGUGAAAUCCCCGGGCUCAACCUGGGAACUGCAUUGGUGACUGGCAGGCUAGAGUAUGGCAGAGGGGGGUAGAAUUCCACGUGUAGCAGUGAAAUGCGUAGAGAUGUGGAGGAAUACCGAUGGCGAAGGCAGCCCCCUGGGCCAAUACUGACGCUCAUGCACGAAAGCGUGGGGAGCAAAACAGGAUUAGAUACCCUGGUAGUCCACGCCCUAAACGAUGUCAACUAGUUGUUGGGGGACUUCAUUUCCUUAGUAACGUAGCUAACGCGUGAAGUUGACCGCCUGGGGAGUACGGUCGGCAAGAUUAAAACUCAAAUGAAUUGACGGGGUCAUA